Molecule: unclassified non-coding RNA, 275 nt
Filed under: Oidiodendron sp.
Lineage: Eukaryota; Fungi; Ascomycota; Leotiomycetes; Myxotrichaceae
Description: partial contains 5.8S ribosomal RNA, internal transcribed spacer 2, and large subunit ribosomal RNA
Rfam family: 5.8S ribosomal RNA (bases 1-71)
Source: RNAcentral
GUGAAUCAUCGAAUCUUUGAACGCACAUUGCGCCCUGUGGUAUUCCGCAGGGCAUGCCUGUUCGAGCGUCAUUUCAACCCUCAAGCCCUGCUUGGUGUUGGGCCCUGCCCGUUGCGGCCGGCCCUAAAGUCAGUGGCGGCGCCGUCUGGCUCUAAGCGUAGUACAUCUCUCGCUCUAGGGCCCCGCGGUGGCUUGCCAGCAACCCCAACUCCUAUGGUUGACCUCGGAUCAGGUAGGGAUACCCGCUGAACUUAAGCAUAUCAAUAAGCGGAGGA